This 171-nucleotide ribosomal RNA is filed under the name uncultured bacterium. RNAcentral's name for it is "partial 16S ribosomal RNA". It matches the Rfam family "Bacterial small subunit ribosomal RNA", at positions 337 to 525 of the family's 1533-position model. The record is from RNAcentral.
UCCUACGGGAGGCAGCAGCUGAGAAUCUUCCACAAUGGACGAAAGUCUGAUGGAGCGACAUCGCGUGAGGGAUGAAGGCCUUCGGGUUGUAAACCUCGGAAAUUAUCGAAGAAUGAGUGACAGUAGAUAAUGUAAGCCUCGGCUAACUACGUGCCAGCAGCCGCGGUAAUA